RNAcentral lists this transfer RNA (74 nucleotides) under Candidatus Contubernalis sp. RNAcentral describes it as "tRNA-Gly". It matches the Rfam family "tRNA". Rfam says of the family: Transfer RNA (tRNA) molecules are approximately 80 nucleotides in length. Their secondary structure includes four short double-helical elements and three loops (D, anti-codon, and T loops). The record is from RNAcentral. Lineage: Bacteria; Bacillati; Bacillota; Dethiobacteria; Dethiobacterales; Dethiobacteraceae.
GCGGGUGUAGCUCAAUGGCAGAGUCCUGGCUUCCCAAGCCAGUCGCGUGGGUUCGAUUCCCAUCACCCGCUCCA